This 386-nucleotide ribosomal RNA is filed under the name uncultured bacterium. RNAcentral describes it as "bacterial SSU rRNA". It matches the Rfam family "Bacterial small subunit ribosomal RNA", at positions 29 to 409 of the family's 1533-position model. The record is from RNAcentral.
AACGAACGCUGGCGGCGCGCCUAAUACAUGCAAGUCGAGCGAGAAGACGUAGCAAUACGUUUGUAAAGCGGCGAACGGGUAAGGAAUACAUGGGUAACCUACCCUCGAGUGGGGAAUAACUAGCCGAAAGGUUAGCUAAUACCGCGUACGCUCCUUGGACUUCGGUUCAGGGAGGAAAGCGAUACCGUGGUAUCGCGCUCUUGGAUGGGCUCAUGUCCUAUCAGCUUGUUGGUGAGGAACGGCUCACCAAGGCUUCGACGGGUAGCUGGUCUGAGAGGACGAUCAGCCACACUGGCACUGCGACACGGGCCAGACUCCUACGGGAGCAGCAGUAAGGAAUAUGCGCAAUGGGCGAAAGCCUGACGCAGCGACGCCGCGUGGGGGAU